GGGAGUGUAUGGGGCACUGGUGUCCCCCCCGGACUUCAAAUCCGAUGUUGCCUGCCAAAAUCGGGCAGGGUGGGUUCGAUUCCCACACGCUCCC
Candidatus Magnetobacterium bavaricum is the source of this 94-nucleotide transfer RNA. It matches the Rfam family "Selenocysteine transfer RNA". NCBI's taxonomy places the organism in Bacteria, Pseudomonadati, Nitrospirota, Thermodesulfovibrionia, Thermodesulfovibrionales, Magnetobacteriaceae (SeqCode). The record is from Rfam.